CCUACGGGAGGCAGCAGUGGGGAAUUUUGGACAAUGGGGGCAACCCUGAUCCAGCCAUGCCGCGUGAGUGAAGAAGGCCUUCGGGUUGUAAAGCUCUUUCGGCCGGAACGAAAUCGCGCACGUGAAUAACGUGCGUGGAUGACGGUACCGGAGUAAGAAGCACCGGCUAACUACGUGCCAGCAGCCGCGGUAAUACGUAGGGUGCGAGCGUUAAUCGGAAUUACUGGGCGUAAAGCGUGCGCAGGCGGUUCGCUAAGUCAGACGUGAAAGCCCCGGGCUUAACCUGGGAACGGCGUUUGAAACUGGCGGGCUCGAGUACGGCAGAGGGGGGUGGAAUUCCACGUGUAGCAGUGAAAUGCGUAGAUAUGUGGAGGAACACCGAUGGCGAAGGCAGCCCCCUGGGCCGAUACUGACGCUCAUGCACGAAAGCGUGGGGAGCAAACAGGAUUAGAUACCCUGGUAGUCCACGCCCUAAACUAUGUCAACUAGUUGUCGGGGAAGCAAUUCCUUGGUAACGCAGCUACGACGUGAGUGACCGCCGUGGGAGGUACGGUCGCGAGAUAAACUACAAUAGAGUAGACGGCGUGAGACGUGCCGACGGACGACGACGAGGGAGGUUAGG
RNAcentral lists this ribosomal RNA (622 nucleotides) under uncultured bacterium. RNAcentral describes it as "bacterial SSU rRNA". The stretch from base 1 to 540 matches the Rfam family "Bacterial small subunit ribosomal RNA", at positions 338 to 873 of the family's 1533-position model. The record is from RNAcentral.